AGAGCGAACGCUGGCGGCAGGCCUAACACAUGCAAGUCGAACGAUCCUUCGGGAUAGUGGCGGACGGGUGAGUAACACGUGGGAACGUGCCUUUUGGUUCGGAACAACUCAGGGAAACUUGAGCUAAUACCGAAUGUGCCCUUCGGGGGAAAGAUUUAUCGCCAUUAGAGCGGCCCGCGUCUGAUUAGCUAGUUGGUGAGGUAAAGGCUCACCAAGGCUACGAUCAGUAGCUGGUCUGAGAGGAUGAUCAGCCACAUUGGGACUGAGACACGGCCCAAACUCCUACGGGAGGCAGCAGUGGGGAAUCUUGCG
Molecule: ribosomal RNA, 312 nt
Filed under: uncultured soil bacterium
Lineage: Bacteria
Description: bacterial SSU rRNA
Rfam family: Bacterial small subunit ribosomal RNA
Source: RNAcentral